ACUCCUACGGGAGGCAGCAGUGGGGAAUUUUGGACAAUGGGGGCAACCCUGAUCCAGCAAUGCCGCGUGAGUGAAGAAGGCCUUCGGGUUGUAAAGCUCUUUUGUCAGGGAAGAAACGGUGGUGGCGAAUAACUACUACUAAUGACGGUACCUGAAGAAUAAGCACCGGCUAACUACGUGCCAGCAGCCGCGGUAAUACGUAGGGUGCAAGCGUUAAUCGGAAUUACUGGGCGUAAAGCGUGCGCAGGCGGUUGUGUAAGUCAGAUGUGAAAUCCCCGGGCUCAACCUGGGAAUUGCAUUUGAGACUGCACGGCUAGAGUGUGUCAGAGGGGGGUAGAAUUCCACGUGUAGCAGUGAAAUGCGUAGAUAUGUGGAGGAAUACCGAUGGCGAAGGCAGCCCCCUGGGAUAACACUGACGCUCAUGCACGAAAGCGUGGGGAGCAAACAGGAUUAGAUACCCGAGUAGUCCCAUGAU
RNAcentral lists this ribosomal RNA (475 nucleotides) under uncultured organism. RNAcentral's name for it is "partial 16S ribosomal RNA". It matches the Rfam family "Bacterial small subunit ribosomal RNA", at positions 335 to 801 of the family's 1533-position model. The record is from RNAcentral.